GGCCUGGUGGUCUAGUAGUAUGAUUCCUUGUUAGGGUAACCGUGUUUCGAGGAGGUCCCGGGUUCAAUUCCCGGCCAGGCCC
Molecule: transfer RNA, 82 nt
Filed under: Suillus subaureus
Lineage: Eukaryota; Fungi; Basidiomycota; Agaricomycetes; Boletales; Suillaceae
Description: tRNA-Pro
Rfam family: tRNA
About the family: Transfer RNA (tRNA) molecules are approximately 80 nucleotides in length. Their secondary structure includes four short double-helical elements and three loops (D, anti-codon, and T loops).
Source: RNAcentral